This 365-nucleotide ribosomal RNA is filed under the name uncultured eukaryote. RNAcentral's name for it is "partial 18S ribosomal RNA". It matches the Rfam family "Eukaryotic small subunit ribosomal RNA", at positions 592 to 976 of the family's 1831-position model. The record is from RNAcentral.
CAAUAGCGUAUAUUUAAGUUGUUGCAGUUAAAAAGCUCGUAGUCGGAUUUUGGCUGAGAACGAUCGGUCCGCCGUUAGGUGUGCACUGAUUGGUCUCAGCUUCCUGGUGAGGAGGUGUGCUUCACGGCCACUUAGUCACCGUGGUUACUUUGAAAAAAUUAGAGUGUUCAAAGCGGGCUUACGCUUGAAUAUAUUAGCAUGGAAUAACACCAUAGGACUCCUGUCCUAUUUCGUUGGUCUCGGGACGGGAGUAAUGAUUAAGAGGAACAGUUGGGGGCAUUCGUAUUUCAUUGUCAGAGGUGAAAUUCUUGGAUUUAUGAAAGACGAACUUCUGCGAAAGCAUUUGCCAAUGAUGUUUUCAUUGA